RNAcentral lists this microRNA (21 nucleotides) under Heliconius melpomene (postman butterfly). Its description in RNAcentral is "Hme-Mir-10485_3p* (star (passenger))". The record is from RNAcentral. Lineage: Eukaryota; Metazoa; Arthropoda; Insecta; Lepidoptera; Nymphalidae.
CCCUGCCCGGAUAGACAGUCC